This 333-nucleotide RNase P RNA is filed under the name uncultured Veillonella sp. RNAcentral's name for it is "Bacterial RNase P class A". It matches the Rfam family "Bacterial RNase P class A". Rfam says of the family: Ribonuclease P (RNase P) is a ubiquitous endoribonuclease, found in archaea, bacteria and eukarya as well as chloroplasts and mitochondria. Its best characterised activity is the generation of mature 5'-ends of tRNAs by cleaving the 5'-leader elements of precursor-tRNAs. Cellular RNase Ps are ribonucleoproteins. Lineage: Bacteria; Bacillati; Bacillota; Negativicutes; Veillonellales; Veillonellaceae. The record is from RNAcentral.
AAGGCGAUUGCGAGUCGUAAGAUUCGAGGAAAGUCCGAGCUCCGCAGGGCAGGAUGCCAGAUAACGUCUGGCGAGGGUAACCUUAGGGACAGUGCCAUAGAAAAGAAAACCGCCACAUCAGUGGUAAGGGUGGAAAGGUGAGGUAAGAGCUCACCAGCAGUCUGGUAACAGGCUGGCUCGGUAAACCCCAUCCGGAGCAAGGCCGAAUAGGGAAGGGUUGAUGUUGCCCGCAGACCUUCCGGGUUGUGCCGCUCGAGCGUGCAGGUGACUGUACGCCUAGAAAGAUAAUCGCCACUGCGUAAGCAGUACAGAACUCGGCUUAUUGACUGCUUG